Molecule: long non-coding RNA, 666 nt
Organism: Antechinus flavipes (yellow-footed antechinus)
Lineage: Eukaryota; Metazoa; Chordata; Mammalia; Dasyuromorphia; Dasyuridae
Exons: 2
Source: RefSeq, a predicted model, not a curated record
UUGCCCAUCCUGUUAUUUAUUUUCAUUUUUGAAAGUAUCCUAUCUCAAAAAUACACUCAGGUCAUGUUGACUGUCAGUAAACAAUCUGAAGGAGCUCAGAUAUGAGUUAUCAGCUGGGAAACUGGCCUUGCCAAGUCUCCUAAAAUCCUCCAAGCAACCUUGCUUUGCUUCAGUCUCUGAAAGGACUUACAGCUGGCUCCCAACAUCCACCCUCAUCCCCAGCCUACUUCCUGAGGAUCACUUCUGCUUUCUUCAGAAUUGGGGUCCAUCUGGAAAGAUCUGAAACCACAGCAAAAUUAGAACCAGCACCUUCAUCUCAGACAUGAGGAGGAAAGUGGAUCAUAGAAGGUGCAACUAACCCAGGUUAAAACAUUCAGUAUAUGUCAAUGCCUAAGCCAAGAGGAAGACUGCAACCAGCUGGAGGAGAUGAAGUUAAUCUAACGGAGCGGGAACAGAAAGCUUAGCCUGUUUUCCCAAUUUAAAAGUAGAAAUAGAAAAAUGGAAAAAAGCCAGGAGUGGAAAGAGAUUCUUAUCGGUCUACAAUAAACAGAAGGAAAAUGGAAACAUGUUCAUUUUAGCCAACAGUUCCUAAGAAUAUUUCUAAUAGUUAUUUUUGUAUUCUAAACAAUCACUUUCUAUACCAAUUAAAUGCCUUUGCUGAUCCCA